ACAUAUUUGUUCUUGAAUUUCAUAUUGAAGAUCAUUUAUGAUUCUUGCUAUCAAUUCUCAGGUGAUAAUGGUAUGUCCUCAUACAUGACACUGCUCAAUGGAUCCUGAAAGCAAGAAUUUUGGAAGAGGUAAUCUUGAAGAUCAAAUACUUUCUUUUUUUGCACAUCCUAUUCAGUUAAAACAAUGUCAAUAAAGGCCAAGAAUACAUUGAUACUAUAAUCACUACAACAAAAAAUUCACAAUAAUGGAACAAUUGUGAAACUUUGUUACUAAUUAAUAAAAUUGUUUGUUACUUUAUUACACAAGUAACUAUCUGCAUUGUGAUGUGUUGGUAAUCUAGGACCAAGGGAGCUCACUGACAUCACAAUCUGAAAUUUCAGCUCAUGUCAAGAUUUAUUUUUUUGGAGGAUGGAAUGGAAAAGGUAAUGGAAUGAGUUAUUCCAUUCCAUUUCUUCCCUGAUUCCAUCAUUACCAAAGACUGAUUCCAUCGAAUUGCUAUCACUAUUUCUUUCUUUUUUAUCAUUCUCUUGUAAUCUGUGUGUUUUCGUUCAUUAAUCCCAGAAGAAUUGUUAUCCCAUCAGUUUGUGGUGUUAUUUUUAUCUUGAGGGAAUUUGAGUUCAUAACAGUGUCACAUAAUUCACAUUAAUCUUGAUGCAAAAUACAACAUGCAAAAGUUGUAAUAAAUGUUGAUCUGUAUCCAAAUUCCACCAUCAGUAGUAACCAACAUGACCAAAAGUAAAAUGACUAUAUCCAAACAACAUUUAUUUGUAUGAAAGAUCUGGUAUGUAAUGACAUAUUUACCCCUGAUUAAGUAACAAAUGGUGAUGUUGAACUACUCCAUGACUCAAAAUUCUAUCAAAAUUACUAUAAGAAUUUUUUGAGACUGUUGAUCCGGAAUCCUCAAAGGAAGAUAUGCCAAAAUGACCAUAUUGUCCUUUUUAAUUCUCUAUUAAUCCUUCUUUGAUGUACCUGAAAGAAAGUGAGCAAACCAAACCAUGAAUGAAAGGGCAUUUUGGUCAUUUGAUCAACACUCAACUCAAGACAUUUUUAAUGAAUCCAUUAGUGGCAUUACACUAGGAAAGUUUGAUAUUGGAUAAACUGGCCAACAAUGCGCUGACUUCUACAAGUUUGCACAUGUCAACGGGGGCAAGAAUUAAAAAAGGGAAUCUGGUCUCGGUGAGUUAGAUGUUGAUAUAUUGAAAUUGAUUGGUAUGAACUUAGUACCCAAGGAUUGUCAAGUAAUAUUUUUCAUUCCAAUGCUCAUGUUAAUUACAAUUGAUUUUAACAAGAGGGUGUUUGAAUUUUAAGAUUUCGAGGUAAUCUGGUUAAAAUUAAACAAUAAGUUUUCAAAAUAGAGAUCCUACCAUUUGAUUUUGCAUCUCGAUCACAAACGCUCCCUUAUCCAUCGUGAAACAGUUGUAGUUCCUUUGUAUUUCUGUAUGUGUUUGUCUGUUGCAAAAACAGAAAUCAAAGCUCUUGUCGUAUGAUGAUGAUGGUUUGAUGGUGGGUUGGUUAAAUUAUUGGAGGUGCGAGGCCAGGCUGGCCGGUGAUGAUGGUGUUGCCACAGGGGAGAUAGAGAUGAAGGGCCGAUUAGCGGUGUAGAGAUGGAGGAAGGGUGGUGUUAAGGUGUUCGGUUGGGAGGAGAAGUGUGUGAGGAGGAAGCUGAGUACUUGUUCAGCGUAUUCAAUUUAGGUAUUGAGUCGUACUUUAUUUCAAAAUGGGGCGUAUUUUAUUUAGGUAUUUGAUCUUGUUUCUAGUACAACUCAUUAACCGUAUUAGAUGUUGUAAUUGGGCGUAUUAUAUUUAUUUAGCCCUUUCUAAUACGGUUUUUAUUUACAACCGUAUUAGAUAUGGGUGUAUUGUAUAGCCUGUUUUCCAGUAGUGACAAAUGUCAAUUAAUCUAAAGUUUAACUUUAUAUGAUUACUAAGCAAACAUUACUAACGAAAAAGCAGAAAGAAUUUAUUCAUGGUAUUGUAAUCGUUCCAAAAGAAUCAAGCUUUGUCAUUU
This 2008-nucleotide long non-coding RNA is filed under the name Lactuca sativa (garden lettuce). RNAcentral describes it as "long non-coding RNA (LSAT_LNC008312)". The record is from RNAcentral. Lineage: Eukaryota; Viridiplantae; Streptophyta; Magnoliopsida; Asterales; Asteraceae.